UACAGAGGGGGCAAGCGUUGUUCGGAAUUACUGGGCGUAAAGGGCGCGUAGGCGGCCUUCUAAGUCGAACGUGAAAUCCCCGGGCUCAACCCGGGAACUGCGUCCGAUACUGGGAGGCUUGAAUCCGGGAGAGGGAUGUGGAAUUCCAGGUGUAGCGGUGAAAUGCGUAGAUAUCUGGAGGAACAUCGGUGGCGAAGGCGGCAUCCUGGACCGGUAUUGACGCUGAGGCGCGAAAGCCAGGGGAGCAAACGGGAUUAGAAACCCGAGUAGUCC
Molecule: ribosomal RNA, 273 nt
Filed under: uncultured bacterium
Lineage: Bacteria
Description: partial 16S ribosomal RNA
Rfam family: Bacterial small subunit ribosomal RNA
Source: RNAcentral